AGAACGAACGCUGGCGGCAUGCCUAACACAUGCAAGUCGAACGAGACCUUCGGGUCUAGUGGCGCACGGGUGCGUAACGCGUGGGAAUUUGCCCUUAGGUACGGGAUAACACAGGGAAACUUGUGCUAAUACCGUAUGAUGACGAAAGUCCAAAGAUUUAUCGCCUAAGGAUGAGCCCGCGUAGGAUUAGCUUGUUGGUGAGGUAAAGGCUCACCAAGGCGACGAUCCUUAGCUGGUCUGAGAGGAUGAUCAGCCACACUGGGACUGAGACACGGCCAGACUCCACGGGAGCGAGCAGUAGGGAAUAUGGAACAAGUAGGGACGAAAGCCGUAGACGUCCAA
RNAcentral lists this ribosomal RNA (342 nucleotides) under uncultured soil bacterium. RNAcentral describes it as "bacterial SSU rRNA". It matches the Rfam family "Bacterial small subunit ribosomal RNA", at positions 26 to 394 of the family's 1533-position model. The record is from RNAcentral.